RNAcentral lists this ribosomal RNA (253 nucleotides) under uncultured bacterium. RNAcentral's name for it is "partial 16S ribosomal RNA". It matches the Rfam family "Bacterial small subunit ribosomal RNA", at positions 524 to 776 of the family's 1533-position model. The record is from RNAcentral.
UCCGUAGGGCGCGAGCGUUGUCCGGAAUCAUUGGGCGUAAAGAGCUCGUAGGCGGCCGGUUGCGUCUGCUGUGAAAUCCCGGGGCUUAACCCCGGGCGUGCAGUGGAUACGGGCUGGCUGGAGGCAGGCAGGGGAGAAUGGAAUUCCCGGUGUAGCGGUGAAAUGCGCAGAUAUCGGGAGGAACACCGGUGGCGAAGGCGGCAUCCUGGACCAACACUGACGCUGAGGAGCGAAAGCCAGGGGAGCAAACGGG